This 177-nucleotide ribosomal RNA is filed under the name uncultured bacterium. Its description in RNAcentral is "partial 16S ribosomal RNA". It matches the Rfam family "Bacterial small subunit ribosomal RNA", at positions 1324 to 1500 of the family's 1533-position model. The record is from RNAcentral.
AGUCGGAAUUGCUAGUAAUCGCGGAUCAGCAUGCCGCGGUGAAUACGUUCCCGGGCCUUGUACACACCGCCCGUCACACCAUGAGAGUUGGAAAUACCCGAAGCCUGUGAGCUAACAGUAAUGAGGCAGCAGUCGAAGGUAGAGCCAAUGAUUGGGGUGAAGUCGUAACAAGGUAUC